Molecule: ribosomal RNA, 522 nt
Filed under: uncultured bacterium
Lineage: Bacteria
Description: bacterial SSU rRNA
Rfam family: Bacterial small subunit ribosomal RNA
Source: RNAcentral
UAGUCCAUGCCGUCAACUAUGAGAGCUCAUCUUAGAAAAACUGAGAUUUAGUUAACACGUUAAGCUCUUCGCCAGGGAAGUACGAUUGCAAGGUUAAAACUCAAAGGAAUUGACGGGAAUCCAUACAAACGGUGGAGCAUGUGGUUUAAUUCGAUACAACGCGUAAAAUCUUACCAGACUUUGUAUAAAUUUACUAUGAAUUUACAAGAUUGCAUGGCUGUCGUCAGUCCGUGUUGUGAAACGUUUGGUUAAUUCCAGUGAACGGACGCAACUUUUAUGUUUAAAUAUUUUUUAUUAGGCAAAUUGUUAAGAAAUACUUAAAGGAAGGUGAAAAUGACGUCAAGUCAGCAUGCCCCUUAUGCUCUGGGCUACACACGUGCUACAAUGGCCGUGACAAAGAGUUGCUACUUUGUGAAAACAAGCUAAUCUCAUAAACGCGGCCUCAGUUCGGAUUGCAGGCUGAAACUCGCCUGCAUGAAGGUGGAAUCGCUAGUAAUCGCCGGUCAGCUAUACGGCGGUGAA